RNAcentral lists this ribosomal RNA (253 nucleotides) under uncultured bacterium. RNAcentral describes it as "partial 16S ribosomal RNA". It matches the Rfam family "Bacterial small subunit ribosomal RNA", at positions 524 to 776 of the family's 1533-position model. The record is from RNAcentral.
UACAGAGGUCCCAAGCGUUGUUCGGAUUCACUGGGCGUAAAGGGUGCGUAGGCGGUCGGGUAAGUCUGACGUGAAAUCUUCAAGCUCAACUUGGAAACUGCGUCCGAUACUAUUCGGCUAGAGGAAUGGAGGGGAGACUGGAAUACUUGGUGUAGCAGUGAAAUGCGUAGAUAUCAAGUGGAACACCAGUGGCGAAGGCGAGUCUCUGGACAUUUCCUGACACUGAGGCACGAAAGCCAGGGGAGCAAACGGG